RNAcentral lists this ribosomal RNA (1386 nucleotides) under marine metagenome. RNAcentral's name for it is "bacterial LSU rRNA". It matches the Rfam family "Bacterial large subunit ribosomal RNA", at positions 1080 to 2464 of the family's 2925-position model. The record is from RNAcentral.
AAGGCAUAGACAGCUAGGAGGUUGGCUUAGAAGCAGCCAUCCUUUAAAGAAAGCGUAAUAGCUCACUAGUCGAGUCGUCCUGCGCGGAAGAUGUAACGGGGCUAAGCACGUAACCGAAGCUUCGGGUGCAUAUUUAUAUGCACGGUAGGAGAGCGUUCUGUAAGCCUGCGAAGGUGUCUUGUGAAGGAUGCUGGAGGUAUCAGAAGUGCGAAUGCUGACAUGAGUAGCGAUAAAGGGUGUGAAAAGCACCCUCGCCGAAAGCCCAAGGUUUCCUGCACAACGUUCAUCGGUGCAGGGUGAGUCGGCCCCUAAGGCGAGGCAGAAAUGCGUAGUCGAUGGGAAACAGGUUAAUAUUCCUGUACCUCAAUUUAAUGCGAUGUGGGGACGGAGAAGGUUAAGUCAGCCGGGUGUUGGAUGUCCCGGUUCAAGCGUGUAGACAGAUUCUUUAGGCAAAUCCGGAGAGUCAAUGUCAAGGCGUGAUAACGAGUGAGCUUGCUCAUGAAGUGACUGAUACCAUGCUUCCAAGAAAAGCCACUAAGCUUCAGUUAAGUUGAGACCGUACCGCAAACCGACACAGGUGGGCAGGAUGAGAAUUCUAAGGCGCUUGAGAGAACCCAGGAGAAGGAACUCGGCAAACUAGCACCGUAACUUCGGGAGAAGGUGCGCCCCGGUAGGUUGUAGCAAUUUACUUGCGAAGGCCGAUGGGGUUGCAGUGAAAAGGUGGCUGCGACUGUUUAAUAAAAACACAGCACUGUGCAAACACGAAAGUGGACGUAUACGGUGUGACGCCUGCCCGGUGCCGGAAGGUUAAAUGAUGGGGUGCAAGCUCUUGAUUGAAGCCCCGGUAAACGGCGGCCGUAACUAUAACGGUCCUAAGGUAGCGAAAUUCCUUGUCGGGUAAGUUCCGACCCGCACGAAUGGCGUAACGAUGGCCACACUGUCUCCUCUUGGGACUCAGCGAAGUUGAAAUGUUUGUGAAGAUGCAAUCUACCCGCGGCUAGACGGAAAGACCCCAUGAACCUUUACUGUAGCUUUACAUUGGACUUUGACAAGAUCUGUGUAGGAUAGGUGGGAGGCAUUGAAGCGUGGUCGCUAGAUCAUGUGGAGCCAACCUUGAAAUACCACCCUGAUGUUGUUGAGGUUCUAACCUAGACCCCGAAACGGGGUUGGGGACCGUGUAUGGUGGGCAGUUUGACUGGGGCGGUCUCCUCCCAAAGAGUAACGGAGGAGUGCGAAGGUAACCUAGGUACGGUCGGAAAUCGUACUGAUAGUGCAAUGGCAUAAGGUUGCUUGACUGCGAGACGGACAGGUCGAGCAGGUGCGAAAGCAGGUCAUAGUGAUCCGGUGGUUCUGUAUGGAAGGGCCAUCGCUCAACGGAUAAAAGGU